GAUGAACGCUGGCGGCGUGCCUAAUACAUGCAAAUCGAGCGAACGGACGAGAAGCUUGCUUCUCUGAUGUUAGCGGCGGACGGGUGAGUAACACGUGGAUAACCUACCUAUAAGACUGGGAUAACUUCGGGAAACCGGAGCUAAUACCGGAUAAUAUUUUGAACCGCAUGGUUCAAAAGUGAAAGACGGUCUUGCUGUCACUUAUAGAUGGAUCCGCGCUGCAUUAGCUAGUUGGUAAGGUAACGGCUUACCAAGGCAACGAUGCAUAGCCGACCUGAGAGGGUGAUCGGCCACACUGGAACUGAGACACGGUACAGACUCCUACGGGAGGCAGCAGUAGGGAAUCUUCCGCAAUGGGCGAAAGCCUGACGGAGCAACGCCGCGUGAGUGAUGAAGGUCUUCGGAUCGUAAAACUCUGUUAUUAGGGAAGAACAUAUGUGUAAGUAACUGUGCACAUCUUGACGGUACCUAAUCAGAAAGCCACGGCUAACUACGUG
Molecule: ribosomal RNA, 497 nt
Filed under: uncultured bacterium
Lineage: Bacteria
Description: partial 16S ribosomal RNA
Rfam family: Bacterial small subunit ribosomal RNA
Source: RNAcentral